Anopheles coluzzii is the source of this 1609-nucleotide long non-coding RNA. RefSeq lists it as uncharacterized. Lineage: Eukaryota; Metazoa; Arthropoda; Insecta; Diptera; Culicidae. The transcript is spliced from 3 exons. The record is from RefSeq and is a predicted model, not a curated record.
GUGUGUGGAGGGGCAAAAAGGGUUGGGGGUUGCUGGCGUAGGUGGACUGGCUUAUCGAACUGAGCGUAUGCGUGUGUAUAAAAAGUUGGUUGUUGCUCGCGCAGGUGUAAGCGCAUCAGUAGUAGUCGUCAUCACCGUACUAGGUAGCAUGGGAAGAGAGCUAAUCUAACUACUACUACAAGUAUGGAUGUGAAACAAUUUACCACCAUCUAUUUGGUAAGGCAUUUCGCUACAUACAUGCAUCAUCCCGCCCGCUCUAGGCCCACCGAAGUGCUUUAAACAAUAGGACAAACUGUCUGUCUGUCUGUCGGCUUAUCCCGUCAUCGUUGUCUUGGUCAUUGUCCCCCAAAAACAGGAAGCAUCAAAUGUGUCCCUUGUCCUCCGUACGCACGACCGGCACGCAGAGACCGAGAAACGAAACCGAAAACCGUUUGAUGUUAAUGAAAACGGAAUGAAAUUAAUUUGCCCCAACAAGACGAUAUACCCGGUACGCAACACUUCAAAGAGCGCAGCAGCACCCGGAUGAGACCAGAUUCCUUUGAUAUUUUCACUUCAAAGAUGAACGCGCUCGGCCAAGUAUCAGGAUCGCACGAAGCUCGGGAGGAUGCACCGGCAUUUUAGUAGCAACAAACGAACCGGAACUCGAGUGAAGCCGGGGAAGAGCACAAGACUUUGACCGCUGCUGAGGAAUGGCUGUGUGCUUUGUUUGAAGUGCUCUCCAGAGAUCCACCCUCACUCAAUGACUGAAUGGGGACAUGGCUGUUACUACAGAAAGGGCGAGUGAAAUAUAGAUAAAAAGCGAAAGUUUCAUAGAAGAGAAAGAAAAAAAACACAACAAGCAGUGUACAACAGUAACAACACUUAAACUUUUCAUCUGAUCCCCUGGCGCAUAGCGAAAUGUUGGAAAAGUCUUUUGUCCCAAAGAAACAAUAAUGGCGAAUGUUUGCCGGUUCGCCAGAAGAGGACAUCUUCCGGUUUUUUUCUGUAGAUGUUAUUAUUCUAAGCACACACACAGCGGGUUAGUUGAGCAGCACCAUCCGCAGCUUUGUGACUGGGUCAAUAGCACGAGUCAAUGUUGCAACCAAACCACCUCCAUCGUAUUCGCGCUGGACGUGGCCAAUGGUGAUAAAUGCAAAUGACCCAGCUGUUGCAACUGCUGUUGCUGUUGGUACAGAACAUGUGGCGCCUUCUGGACUUUUGAGUUUUUGUUUCCAAUACACACAGUUAUGCCCGCGAUUGAUGAUGCACUGUAGCGCGCGUGGGGGUCGUGGAUAAUGAUUGCGGUCUGUCUGUAUAAAAUGCAACUGCUAAACACCCUCUGCGUAACACGAUAAUGAAGUUUUACGGGUUCUCCUGUGGUUCGUCAGAGGAACUGUCCUUUCCGUGAACAAGAUUUAUGAAAAAGUGAACUGCACAAGUGAAGCACUCGUCGUUUUAAGAUCAAUAGAAAAUCAUCAAACAUUCUCGACAUUAUGCGAUUCCAGAACAGGUCAAUUCUCGGUCUUAGGUUAAGAUGGAAUUAAUGAACUUUUUUAUUAGAUUUCGGCUACAUGAUACAUGCGCGUCAUUAAAUUUGUGAGAAACAGGAAAAUAAAUUAAAAUUUUCUGU